This 424-nucleotide ribosomal RNA is filed under the name uncultured bacterium. RNAcentral's name for it is "bacterial SSU rRNA". It matches the Rfam family "Bacterial small subunit ribosomal RNA", at positions 355 to 776 of the family's 1533-position model. The record is from RNAcentral.
UGAGGAAUAUCGGUCAAUGGGCGAGAGCCUGAACCAGCCAAGUAGCGUGAAGGAUGAAGGCUCUAUGGGUCGUAAACUUCUUUUAUAUGGGAAUAAAGUUUUCCACGUGUGGAAUUUUGUAUGUACCAUAUGAAUAAGGAUCGGCUAACUCCGUGCCAGCAGCCGCGGUAAUACGGAGGAUCCGAGCGUUAUCCGGAUUCAUUGGGUUUAAAGGGAGCGUAGGUGGAUUGUUAAGUCAGUUGUGAAAGUUUGCGGCUCAACCGUAAAAUUGCAGUUGAAACUGGCAGUCUUGAGUACAGUAGAGGUGGGCGGAAUUCGUGGUGUAGCGGUGAAAUGCUUAGAUAUCACGAAGAACUCCGAUUGCGAAGGCAGCUCACUAGACUGUUACUGACACUGAUGCUCGAAAGUGUGGGUAUCAAACAGG